RNAcentral lists this ribosomal RNA (503 nucleotides) under uncultured bacterium. RNAcentral describes it as "partial 16S ribosomal RNA". It matches the Rfam family "Bacterial small subunit ribosomal RNA", at positions 28 to 523 of the family's 1533-position model. The record is from RNAcentral.
GAUGAACGCUAGCUACAGGCUUAACACAUGCAAGUCGAGCGGGGUGAUGGUGCUUGCACUAUCACUUAGCGGCGGACGGGUGAGUAAUGCUUAGGAAUCUGCCUAUUAGUGGGGGACAACAUCUCGAAAGGGAUGCUAAUACCGCAUACGUCCUACGGGAGAAAGCAGGGGAUCACUUGUGACCUUGCGCUAAUCGAUGAGCCUAAGUCGGAUUAGCUAGUUGGUGGGGUAAAGGCCUACCAAGGCGACGAUCUGUAGCGGGUCUGAGAGGAUGAUCCGCCACACUGGGACUGAGACACGGCCCAGACUCCUACGGGAGGCAGCAGUGGGGAAUAUUGGACAAUGGGGGGAACCCUGAUCCAGCCAUGCCGCGUGUGUGAAGAAGGCCUUAUGGUUGUAAAGCACUUUAAGCGAGGAGGAGGCUCUUUUGGUUAAUACCCAAGAUGAGUGGACGUUACUCGCAGAAUAAGCACCGGCUAACUCUGUGCCAGCCGCCGCCGUAA